Molecule: ribosomal RNA, 486 nt
Filed under: uncultured bacterium
Lineage: Bacteria
Description: partial 16S ribosomal RNA
Rfam family: Bacterial small subunit ribosomal RNA
Source: RNAcentral
AUUGAACGCUGGCGGCAUGCCUUACACAUGCAAGUCGAACGGCAGCACGGGUGCUUGCACCUGGUGGCGAGUGGCGAACGGGUGAGUAAUACAUCGGAACAUGUCCUGUAGUGGGGGAUAGCCCGGCGAAAGCCGGAUUAAUACCGCAUACGAUCUACGGGUGAAAGCGGGGGACCUUCGUGCCUCGCGCUAUAGGGUUGGCCGAUGGCUGAUUAGCUAGUUGGUGGGGUAAAGGCCUACCAAGGCGACGAUCAGUAGCUGGUCUGAGAGGACGACCAGCCACACUGGGACUGAGACACGGCCCAGACUCCUACGGGAGGCAGCAGUGGGGAAUUUUGGACAAAGGGCGAAAGCCUGAUCCAGCAAUGCCGCGUGUGUGAAGAAGGCCUUCGGGUUGUAAAGCACUUUUGUCCGGAAAGAAAUCCUUGGCCCUAAUACGGUCGGGGGAUGACGGUACCGGAAGAAUAAGCACCGGCUAACUACGUG